This 2925-nucleotide long non-coding RNA is filed under the name Amborella trichopoda. Its description in RNAcentral is "long non-coding RNA (ATRI_LNC000566)". The record is from RNAcentral. Lineage: Eukaryota; Viridiplantae; Streptophyta; Magnoliopsida; Amborellales; Amborellaceae.
UCGAGCCUCAUGGAUUAGUGAUCUAAAAAAAUAAAAUAAAAAAUAAGAAAAAUUAAAAUAGAAGUUUAUGGGAUGGGAAUUUAGGGGGGGAAUCGAGGCGGGACUCAUACUAUUCCGGAAUUGUUUCAGUCCCAACUGAAUCUGUAUCCAAAUCGAUAACCUAGAUCGAAAAUCACUAGUAUUUAAAAGUGUGGUUUUACUCAAUAAAUUGAACGGAUGAGCAUAUCAUCCAUUGACAAAAGAAACCAAUCUUUUUGGAUUUCAUGUGGAUGGAUAUGUCAUUUCUACAACCAUUGUUGUGCUUUUAUACAUGAAAAAUGACAUUCCUCCAACUUCUUCGUCCGUGGCCUCAUUUCAUUACACAACGAUAUUCCUCCAACUUCUUUGUCCGUGGCCUCAUUUCAUUACACAACCUGCGCCAGAUCAAAGCCUAAUAUAUGAAUUGUCGCUAAAAAUUAUCAAACAUAUAUAAUUGUCAAAGGGGAAGUAUUCAAAUCUUUUUACCAACUAUUCAAGGCCAUCAAAAUAAUGUAAUUUUUUAUUUUCCUUAAAAUGUAUACUUUUCCAUGGGACUCAUGUACCUCCUCAAAAUAAAAAAUAUAAAUUUUUUUAGAGAGAUGCCAUUGGAGGCUUGAACAAUUAGGGGAGCCUUGAACAAUUAGGAGAAUUUUGGUUCUUUUGCCCUUUUAAGUGGCAUGGGUCAAAUGAUGAUAAUUCAUUUAGUUAUUCAGGGUUAGUAUCACAAAAUUUCCAAACAAUGAUAAUACCAUUAAGUUUUAGGGUUAGCAAUAGUAUACUAACUUCGUUCCAUUAAAUACAUUUGUUCUAUUUUUGCGAGCUGAAACGACCUAGUGUAUUCUCAUCAAUUGACUCGAGCCACUUAAGUAUGGCCAAAUUAUCAAAAUGCCCCAAAUUGUUUAUGGUUUUUAUCCCUCAGUAAUUUUAAAGAUGUAACUAAGUGAAAUAAAACUUAAAACUUAGAAGUCAUAGGCUUUACGAUGCAAAAGUGAAGCCCCACCUCAAAAUAUUGUUGAGAAAAUUAGCUCUAGGACCAAGACUCACGAUUAUGACCUAAAGAUCCAUUUGCCCUAGAUUAUGAAAUUUGAAGAUAAAAAAAUAGUGCAGAUCUAUAGGACCUGUGAAUACUUAAAAGUGGAAGGUCCAAAUAAUGUGCUAGAAAAAUAAAAUACAUAUUAAAAUAGACGUUCAUCGGGUGAGGAUUUAAGUAGGAACUAAAAAAACAUUACAUAAGUUUGAAAAGAAAGAAAGUUAAUAAUAUGAAACGGGAGUUUUAGAUGGUGGACCAAGCUAGGACCUCUACCUCUUCUAAACCGAUUUGGUCACUGCCGAUUCACAAUCUAGAUCAGUUGUUAUCAAGAGGUUUUCAAACACUGGGCAGAACAAUGGGGUCAUUGGUUUGCAUAGCGUUCCUAGUAAAAUGCAUUCCCUCUUACUACGCGUGGUUCCUUUGCUAAAAUUGGGAUGAAAACAAUCGUUUAGGCCUUUAAGGUUUUCACUUACCCCUAUUUUUAGAUCCAUUUUAGAUAUGUCAUUGCAAAUCAUCAUCAUCAUCAUCCAAAUUUUAUCCCAAUUAUUCGAAAUCGGCUAUAUAAAUCAUGUACUGUAACAUAGGUUCGAAACAUGUCAUUGUAAAUACUUAUGCAAAUAAGUUACUAGUAUUAAACUAUGGAUCUCCUCAAAAGAUUCUCAAAACCUUUUCCAAAAACGAGGCAUACAUCAAAGAAAUAUUGUUUAGGCUGGAUUUCUCAAAAUUUUGAAGGAUGAAAGCAAAUAUUAUCUUUUGAUGAUGCAUAAACUUUGAUACAACACUGCAUGGUUUUAAGCCUUAUGUGGACCGCUGGACAACAACAAACAAGUUGGGGAGGAAAUAGAGGGAGAGAUUUUUGGUAGUAAAUUGGGGUGGACAAGUGGUAAAUUUCAAAGAAAGCCAACUGUCUAUCACACAAAUAAAACGGCAAAAAAAAAUUUAAGUCACAAUGAAAAAGACUUGUUGACCUGCAAAUGGCUCUAAACUUGUGUCCCCUGUGAACUUCCAACGUGUUGCAACGUCCUUUUGUCAACACGUUUGAAUAUACGAAAAUCAGACUUUCAAAUGUGUCGCUCAACUAUUGCUAGACACGCCCGUUUGUUAGCAAGUAGCUUUUUGGAAUUGCUCCGUCUUCCCUCUACUUCUAGUAUAGUGACGGAAAUUUUUUUAUUCUGGUAAUUCAAUGGGGAAGGGAAAUGGGUUCUUUUAAGGGUGGCAUCGGCGAGCCUGGCCUGGCUUCGUUCCCUUAAGGGUCGGCCUAGGCUGGAUUGGGCUAAAGAGGCGCGCCCAGGGCUCUAUCAGGACUGAACCGUUUUCAUAUGACCACUUAUUCUAACAUAUCUUACUUUUUCAAUAUUUACGUAUUUUAUCAUUUUUUUUUUUUUUUCCAAGAACAGGGCUAGGUCAUAGCAGUCCACAUCCUAAAAAGAGUCUAGCUAACUCCAUAACUAUUUGGAAAAACAGGGUCGGGGCUUGUUGUCAUGGGCUUACUUCUUUUUUCACAAUCCACCCGUGCGGCAUCUAGCCCUAAUCCUCACUCGAUCCAGGUUAAAUCAGCUUUCACUUACGAUCAUACAAUCUAGGAAGGGGGGGGGGGGGGGGGGGGUUAGAGGAAAACAAACCACAAAGCACAUACACAAAAAUAGCGAGGGAACCUCAACCCAAUUUCACUAAAAAGUCUAAAUGUGUACAAGCCACGGUUUCCUUUUCACUAAGGCCUGGAAAGGGGUUUUAUAGCCCCACUAUACAUUUGAAACCACAAUACGUGGAGCCCAUGCACCACGCCAUGGGCUGGCUGCACACCAGCCGUCCACCUCACAAUUGGUUAUGGCUGAGGCCUAAGCCUCGGCCACGUCUAGCAUGAGACCUAGUCUCAU